AGAGUUUGAUCAUGGCUCAGAUUGAACGCUGGCGGCAUGCCUUACACAUGCAAGUCGAACGGCAGCGCGGGGCAACCUGGCGGCGAGUGGCGAACGGGUGAGUAAUAUAUCGGAACAUACCCUAGAGUGGGGGAUAACGUAGCGAAAGUUACGCUAAUACCGCAUACGCACUAAGGUGGAAAGUGGGGGAUCGCAAGACCUCAUGCUCAUGGAGUGGCCGGUAUCUGAUUAGCUAGUUGGUGAGGUAAAGGCUCACCAAGGCGACGAUCAGUAGCUGGUCUGAGAGGACGACCAGCCACACUGGAACUGAGACACGGUCCAGACUCCUACGGGAGGCAGCAGUGGGGAAUUUUGGACAAUGGGGGCAACCCUGAUCCAGCAAUGCCGCGUGAGUGAAGAAGGCCUUCGGGUUGUAAAGCUCUUUUGUCAGGGAAGAAACGGUGGUCUCUAAUAUAGGCUGCUAAUGACGGUACCUGAAGAAUAAGCACCGGCUAACUACGUGCCAGCAGCCGCGGUAAUACGUAGGGUGCAAGCGUUAAUCGGAAUUACUGGGCGUAAAGCGUGCGCAGGCGGUUAUAUAAGUCAGAUGUGAAAUCCCCGGGCUCAACCUGGGAACUGCAUUUGAGACUGUAUGGCUAGAGUGUGUCAGAGGGGGGUAGAAUUCCACGUGUAGCAGUGAAAUGCGUAGAUAUGUGGAGGAAUACCGAUGGCGAAGGCAGCCCCCUGGGAUAACACUGACGCUCAUGCACGAAAGCGUGGGGAGCAAACAGGAUUAGAUACCCUGGUAGUCCACGCCCUAAACGAUGUCUACUAGUUGUCGGGUCUUAAUUGACUUGGUAACGCAGCUAACGCGUGAAGUAGACCGCCUGGGGAGUACGGUCGCAAGAUUAAAACU
RNAcentral lists this ribosomal RNA (895 nucleotides) under uncultured bacterium. Its description in RNAcentral is "bacterial SSU rRNA". It matches the Rfam family "Bacterial small subunit ribosomal RNA", at positions 8 to 901 of the family's 1533-position model. The record is from RNAcentral.